RNAcentral lists this ribosomal RNA (510 nucleotides) under uncultured bacterium. Its description in RNAcentral is "partial 16S ribosomal RNA". It matches the Rfam family "Bacterial small subunit ribosomal RNA", at positions 28 to 507 of the family's 1533-position model. The record is from RNAcentral.
GACGAACGCUGGCGGCGUGCUUAACACAUGCAAGUCGAACGAAGAGCGAUGGAAGCUUGCUUCUAUCAAUCUUAGUGGCGAACGGGUGAGUAACGCGUAAUCAACCUGCCCUUCUGAGGGGGACAACAGUUGGAAACGACUGCUAAUACCGCAUACGAUCUAAUCUCGGCAUCGAGGAUAGAUGAAAGGUGGCCUCUACAUGUAAGCUAUCACUGAAGGAGGGGAUUGCGUCUGAUUAGCUAGUUGGAGGGGUAACGGCCCACCAAGGCGAUGAUCAGUAGCCGGUCUGAGAGGAUGAACGGCCACAUUGGGACUGAGACACGGCCCAGACUCCUACGGGAGGCAGCAGUGGGGAAUCUUCCGCAAUGGACGAAAGUCUGACGGAGCAACGCCGCGUGAGUGAUGACGGCCUUCGGGUUGUAAAGCUCUGUUAAUCGGGACGAAAGGCCUUCUUGCGAAUAGUGAGAAGGAUUGACGGUACCGGAAUAGAAAGCCACGGCUAACUACGUG